AAGAAACAGGUUGCUGAGAAGCAUGCAGUGAUGCUCUCCCUUAGUGUGACAACACUUUUUUCUGUGAAUGCAGGUCGUUCUCCUUUCUUUGGUGCUCUUGGAAUAUAUCUUUAUGAAGAGGACAAAGAGUGAGGUGGUUGUAUAUGAAGGAAGAACUGUGAUGGCCAUAGAUUUGCUCCUGAUCUCUCAGCAAAUACAGAGUCAAACACGUCUGACCAACUGUCUCUGGAAUAGGUGCUGUUUUCUUCGAUGAAGACACCAGCAUAUGGUUCCCAGGUUUCCCAGUGGAAAAUAUCAUUCAAACCUGCUGCUCCUCAGCUCUUGUACCUUCUCUGCUAUGCCUCUUAUUAACCUAGGAUCUAAAGCCACUCAAAGGUGUCAGAGAAGAAGGAUGCACCAUGGAAAGAGUUCUUCUCUUAUGUCUGCAAACAGUCUCUCUGGAGAACAGUAACACAAAUGUACAGGCAGUAAGAAGAGAGCACAGGGAAGUACUCCUUGAUUAAGUGCAUCUGCUUUUAGGCUUACUGCAUAAGUAAAUAAACACCAGGGAAUUGUGGAAGGUAUUCAUGGUAUUUUGUAAGUGAGUUUCAAAGUGCAUGCUGCAGAUUUAUAUGCUUUGUAAGCUACACUGCGAUGCAGGUUGCAUUCUAUUAAAA
Long non-coding RNA from Pogoniulus pusillus (Red-fronted tinkerbird), 656 nucleotides. RefSeq lists it as uncharacterized. NCBI's taxonomy places the organism in Eukaryota, Metazoa, Chordata, Aves, Piciformes, Lybiidae. The record is from RefSeq and is a predicted model, not a curated record. The transcript is spliced from 6 exons.